RNAcentral lists this ribosomal RNA (497 nucleotides) under uncultured bacterium. RNAcentral's name for it is "bacterial SSU rRNA". It matches the Rfam family "Bacterial small subunit ribosomal RNA", at positions 32 to 507 of the family's 1533-position model. The record is from RNAcentral.
CAACGCUGGCGGCGUGCCUAAUACAUGCAAGUCGAGCGGAAUGAUGAAGAAGCUUGCUUCUUCUGAUUUUAGCGGCGGACGGGUGAGUAACACGUGGGCAACCUACCUUGUAGAUUGGGAUAACUCCGGGAAACCGGGGCUAAUACCGAAUAAUCCAUUUUGCUUCAUGGCGAGAUGUUGAAAGACGGUUUCGGCUGUCACUACAAGAUGGGCCCGCGGCGCAUUAGCUAGUUGGUAGGGUAAUGGCCUACCAAGGCGACGAUGCGUAGCCGACCUGAGAGGGUGAUCGGCCACACUGGGACUGAGACACGGCCCAGACUCCUACGGGAGGCAGCAGUAGGGAAUCUUCCACAAUGGACGAAAGUCUGAUGGAGCAACGCCGCGUGAGUGAAGAAGGUUUUCGGAUCGUAAAACUCUGUUGUAAGGGAAGAACACGUACGAGAGUAACUGCUCGUACUUUGACGGUACCUUAUUAGAAAGCCACGGCUAACUACGUG